This 492-nucleotide ribosomal RNA is filed under the name uncultured bacterium. Its description in RNAcentral is "partial 16S ribosomal RNA". It matches the Rfam family "Bacterial small subunit ribosomal RNA", at positions 30 to 507 of the family's 1533-position model. The record is from RNAcentral.
AUUGAACGCUGGCGGCAUGCUUUACACAUGCAAGUCGAACGGUAACAGGCCUUCGGGUGCUGACGAUUGGCGAACGGGUGAGUAAUGCAUCGGAACGUACCCAGAGGUGGGGGAUAACGCAGCGAAAGCUGUGCUAAUACUGCAUGUGAUCUGAGGAUGAAAGCGGGGGACCGAGCAGCAAUGUUUGGCCUCGCGCCUUUGGAGCGGCCGAUGUCGGAUUAGCUAGUUGGUGGGGUAAAGGCCCACCAAGGCGACGAUCCGUAGCUGGUCUGAGAGGACGACCAGCCACACUGGGACUGAGACACGGCCCAGACUCCUACGGGAGGCAGCAGUGGGGAAUUUUGGACAAUGGGCGCAAGCCUGAUCCAGCAAUGCCGCGUGCGGGAAGAAGGCCUUCGGGUUGUAAACCGCUUUUGGCAGGAACGAAACGGUGUCCGCUAAUACCGGGCGCUAAUGACGGUACCUGCAGAAUAAGCACCGGCUAACUACGUG